This 6336-nucleotide ribosomal RNA is filed under the name Triticum aestivum (bread wheat). RNAcentral describes it as "partial small subunit ribosomal RNA". Lineage: Eukaryota; Viridiplantae; Streptophyta; Magnoliopsida; Poales; Poaceae. The record is from RNAcentral.
AUGGUGAUGGUGCUGGAUGCGUUUGCAUCCUACCUGGGGGACUACCUCAAGCAGGUGGUAGAAGAUGAGCUCGGAACGAGGCUGGGCGUGUCGGGCGAGAUCAACAAGAUGGGCGGCAAGCUCCAGGACCUCAAGAACUUCCUCGCCGACGCUGAUAGGAGGAACAUCACGGACGAGACUGUGCAAGCCUGGGUGGGCCAGCUCAAGCGUGCCAUGUAUGAAGCUGCUGACAUCCUCGACCUCUGCCAGCUCAAGGCCAUGGAGCGUGGACCAUCCACCGCAAUUCCAGGGUUUUUCAAUCCCCUGCUUUUCUGCAUGCGGAAUCCCUUCCAUGCUCAUGAAAUCGGCACCCGCAUCAAAGCGCUCAACAAGAGCCUUGACUCCAUCAAGGAGCGGAGUGCUGCUUUCAACUUUAUCAACCUCGGAUCCUACGAGGAUCAUAGCAGCAACAUCCACGCCUCUGGUCGUGGCAAUCCUAGCCACGAGACAUCAGGGGACCUUGACCGGUCCUGGUCAGGUCUGGUUGGGGACCAGAUCAAAGAAGACACAAGAGCACUGGUGUCCCAGAUCAUGCGCCCAAGAAAUGAGGUCAACACCAACAUCACAGUGUUCGCCAUCGUAGGUGUUGGUGGGAUUGGCAAGACCACCCUUGCCCAGCAGGUCUUCCAUGACGAGGUCAUCCAAUCUGAGUUCAGCAAAAGGAUAUGGUUGAGCAUCAACCAAAACUUCAGUGAGAUUGAGCUGUUGACAAGAGCCAUCAGUGCAGCCGGAGGAAACCACCUGCCGGCUGGAAAUGCAAAGGCUACACUUCACCAAACUCUCAAGGACACCUUGAUUGGCCACAAGACUUUACUGGUAAUGGAUGAUGUGUGGAACCCUGGAGCAUGGGAGGGUGUGCUCAAAAUACCCUUUCUUAAUGCUGCUGCUCCAGGCAGCCAGGUCCUCAUCACCACUAGAGAUGAAGGUGUUGCCCUAGGGAUGGCAGCCACAUGGCCUUACCAUCACGUUGGCACAUUAGGGCUUGACGAUGCUUGGUCGCUGCUAAAAAAGCAGGCACUCUCAAGUGAGAUAGAUGAAGACCAUCUCAAUAUGUUGAAGGAUGUCGGAUUGAAAAUUAUACAGAAAUGUGGUGGUUUACCUCUCUCCAUCAAAAUAAUAGGAGGACUCCUGCGUAAAAGGGGGGAGCUACGUCGUGACUGGGAGCAUGUUUUGGAUGAUUCUAAAUGGUCAAUAACUAGAAUGCCCCAAGAGCUCAACUAUCCAGUAUACUUGAGCUAUGAAGAUAUGCCUCCUUAUCUGAAGCAGUGCUUCCUAUACUACUCUCUUCUUCCUAAAAGCAGAAGUUUCCAUGUGGAUCAAGUAGUUGGGAUGUGGAUCAGCGAAGGAUUUAUUCAUGGGAACUCGAAUGAUUUAGAAGAAUCUGGAAGAAAUUACUACAGAGAGCUGAUAUCUAGGAACCUUAUAGAGCCUAAUAUAAAUGAUGCCGAUCAAUAUUAUUGUAGCAUGCAUGAUGUUGUUCGUUCAUUUGCUCAGUAUAUGACUAGAGAUGAAGCAUUCACAGCUCAAGACGGAGACAAUGAUAUGCUAACUAAACUUAGCUCGCAGAAGUUUCUUCGGUUGUCUAUGCAAUCAGGUGACCUUGACUGGAAAUCUUUGCAGGAGCAGCAAUCAGUGAGAACAUUAAUCUCAACUACUCAGAUCAAUUUGAAGCCUGGUGAUUCAUGGGCUGCCUUUUCUAGUCUACGGACUCUACACAUAGAAUCUGCAGAUGUGGCUGCACUGACUGAAUCGUUGCAUCAGCUGAAGCACCUGAGAUAUCUGGCACUAUUAAAUACUGAUAUAUCUGUACUUCCAGUGAACAUUGGCAAGAUGAAACUAUUGCAAUUUCUUGACCUUGGUGGAUGUACAACAGUGGUGAAUCUUCCUGAUAGCAUUGUGAAGCUUGGCCAGCUGAGGUUAUUUGAUCUUCCCUACACAAAUGUGAUACCUAGAGGGUUCCAUGGUCUGACAAGUAUGAGGAGACUAUUUGGAUUUCGAGCCCUCAUGGAUGGUGAUUGGUGUAGUUUGGACGAGUUGGGGCCUCUUUCCCAACUCAGACGUCUUCAUUUAUUUCAACUGGAGAAUGUACCUGCUGCUUCGUUUGCUGCUAAUGCUAGGCUUUGUGAGAAAAGGAAUCUUACAAACCUAUUCUUGUGCUGCACCAGCAAACUGGGAGAUGAUGGGUUGCUCAUAGAGAAAGAAGGUGUCUCUAUUGGAGAGCAGGAAAGAAACGAGAAGGUGUUUGAUGAGCUCUGCCCUCCACCCAGUAUAGUUGAUCUUUCUAUCCAAGGGUAUUUUGGCCAGCAACUCCCGAGUUGGAUGAUGUCUACGUCAAUGGUGCCCCUCAACAACUUGAAGUAUCUAUGGUUUGAUCACCUGGUUUGUUGCACACAACUUCCCAAUGGGUUGUGUCAGCUCCCCUACCUGCAGAUCCUUCAUGUCAACCGCGCUCCAUGCAUCAGGCGUGUUGGGACUGAAUUCUUGCAGGCGGCGGCAGCUCCAUUUCCAAGGUUAAACGUGAUGAAGUUAAUUGGAAUGGUGGAAUGGGAGGAUUGGGAGUGGGAGGAGCAAGUACAGGCCAUGCCCCGUCUGGAGACGCUUUUGCUCGGUAAUUGCAAACUGAGACGUGCUCCUCCUGGGCUUGCCUCCAAUGCAAGGGGUUUGAAGAUUUUAAUUGUAAGAGGCGUCCAUCACCUCAACUACCUUGAGAGCUUUUCUUCUGUUGUUGAGCUUACGGUGCAUGCAUGCCCUGACCUCGAGAGGAUCACUAAUCUCCCCAAUCUGCAAAAGCUCACCAUCAAAGGUUGCCCAAAGUUGAAGAUGCUAGAGAGUAUCCCUGCACUCGAGUGGUUGGUUCUGGAGAAUUACGCCAUCGAAGAACUUCCAGAAUACAUGCGAGAUAUAAACCCAAGGCAUUUGCAGCUGCUCUGCAGGAUAUGGUUGGUAUCUUCGCUAGCCGCGGGACAAUCUGGUCCUGAGUGGGACAAGUUCAGCCAUGUGGAUCAUGUCCAGGCAUAUGCACGUGAUGGAAACAACCAAAGGAAAUGGUAUGUGUUGUACACAAGAAGAGACAACUUCAAAUUGGAUUCAAAUAUUAGCAGCAGCUCUACCAUUUUUCAAGAAAAUUUAUCAUCUUCUAUUGUGGAUGCUCUAGGAUUUGAGUCUGUGUGCAAAAUGAGAAGAAGUACCUUCAGUUACAUCUGCAGCUUGGUGAGGAUCCCAUUUUUUGAAGAUAUGAUGUCAAGGGAUCAGGAUCACACCUUUGUUGACGGGAGAGAGCUGUCUUUACAAGAUCGAGCAUUUGUCGCUUUGGCAAUGCUGAACUCAGGUGCCUCACCUGUUACCGUAGGAUUCUCUCUUGGUGUGAAUGAGUCAACUGUCUUGCUGGUAACUCAAGUGUUUGUUGAGGCUAUGUAUGUGCGAGCAAUGCAUCACUUGCAUUGGCCAGGCUACACUAAAAUGGAGAAGAUCAAGCGCAAGUUUGACAAAAUCCAUGGCCUGCCAAACUGCUGUGGUGUUAUACAUACAGCUCACAUCAAAUUUGGGUCACAAAACCGUGACCGCGAGGAGAAUGAUGUCAUCUUAAUGCAAGCUCUGGUUGAUCCAGAUAUGAGGUUCACAAACAUUUGGUUGGGGUUGCCAGGUAGCAUGAUGAACCAAUUGAGCAUUUUGCAUGACUCUAAUCUUUUUAAGAUGGGUGAGAAGGGUACUUUGCUGAAUGGCAACAAGCUGAAGGUAUCAUCAGGUGGUGGAUUGGAAGUCGGGGAAUACAUAAUUGGUGGUGCAGGAUAUCCUCUUCGUCCUUGGCUCCUCACGCCUUACCAGUUAGAGAAUGACCUCUCAGACUUGGACUCCAAAGUGGAGUUCAAUAGGAGACACUUUGCAGCUAUAGCCGUCGUGCUGAGGGCACUGGCACGGUUGAGAGGCACACACAAGUGCCUUCGUGGAGAAGGACCACAUCUAAAUAAUCAGGGUUACAUGUUUUCGAUAAUCUAUGUGUGCUGCAUGUUGAAUAACAUAGUGAUAGACAUGGAGGAGGAGCAGAGUGCAGGCAUUGAGGAAAAGUAUUACGUCGGGCAAGUGCGUCAGAUUGCAGAUGAGGAUGCCGUCAGGAUGAGGGAUGUACUAUCCCAGCACCUGAUCGGAUCUAGAGAAACCUUAUCAUCUUGUAUGGUUGGCGCACAAGGAUUUGAGUUGCUGUAUAAAAUGAGAAGAAGUACCUUUAGUUAUAUCUGCAGCUUGGUGAGAGUGCCAUUUUUGGAAGAUAUGAUGGCAAGGGUUCACAUGUUUGUUGAUGGGAGAGUAUUGUCUUUACAAGAUCGAGUAGCUGUCGCUCUGGUAAUGCUGAACUCUGGUGUGUCACCUGUUACCGUAGGACUAUCCCUUGGUGUGAACGAGACAACUGUCUCGCUGGUAACUCAGGUGUUUGUUGAAGCUAUGUGCGAGCGAGCAAUGCACCACUUGCGUUGGCCAGGCUCCGCUAAAAUGGAGAAGAUCAAGCGCAAGUUUGAUAAGAUCCAUGGCCUCCCAAAUUGCUGUGGUGUUGUGCAUACAGCCCACAUCAAAUUUGGAAUGCAAAACUGUGACCAUGAGGAGAAUGAUGGCAUCCUAAUGCAAGCUCUCAUUGAUCCAGAUAUGAGGUUCACAAACAUUUGUUUGGGGCUGCCAGGUAGCAUGAUGAACAAAUUGAGCGUUUUGCACGACUCUGAUCUUUUCAAGAUGGGCGAGAAGGGUACUUCGCUGAAUGGUAACAAGCUGAAGGUAACAUCAGGUGGAGGAUUAGAAAUUGGGGAAUACAUAAUUGGUGAUGCAGGAUAUCCUCUUCGUCCCUGGCUCCUCACACCUUACCAGUUGGAGAAUGAUCUCUCAGAUUCAGACUCCAAAGUGGAAUUCAACAGGAGACACUCUGCAGCUACAGCCGUCAUGCUGAGGGCGCUGGCAAGCUUGAAGGACACAUGGAAGUGCCUGCAGGGAGAAGGGUGGCAUCCAAAUAAUAAACGUGGCAUGCACUUGACAACCGGCACAUGCGUCAUUUUGCAUAACAUACUGAUAGACAUGGAGAAAGACGAGGGUGCAGGCAUGCCAAGCAAUCAGGAGGAGAAUUACGUCAAGCAAAUGCGGCAGGUUGCAGAAGAGGACGUCAUCAGGGUGAGGGAUGCACUGUCCCAGCACUUGAUCGAAAAUGGAGAAACCUUAUCAUCUUGUAUGGUGGGCGCACAAGGAUUUGAGUUGGUGUAUAAAAUGAGAAGAAGUACCUUCAGUUACAUCUGCAGCUUGGUGAGGGUGCCAUUUCUGGAAGAUAUGAUGGCAAGGGAUCACAAAUUUGUUGAUGGGAGAGUGCUGUCUUUACAGGAUCGAGUAGCGAUUGCUCUGAGAAUGCUUAACUGUGGUGAGCCACCGGCCACCGUGGGAUCCUCUCUUGGUGUGGACGAGUCAACCGUCUCGUUGGUAACUCACAGGUUUGUUGGAGCGUGGGCGCGAGCAUUUCACCACAUAAGCUGGCCUGGCUCUGCUAAACUGGAGAAGAUCAAGAGCAAGUUCGACAAGAUACACGGCUUGCCAAACUGUUGUGGUGUUGUACAUACAGCUCAAAUCACAUUUGGAUCAGAGAACAGUGGCCAUGAAGAAAAUGUUGGCAUGCUAAUGCAAGUGGUCGUUGAUCCAGAUUUUAGGUUCUCAUUCAUUUGGUUGGGGCCAUCAGGUAGUAUGAACCAAUUGAGUGUUUUGUAUGACUCUUCGCUCUUCAAGUCCUGCCAGGAGGGUACUGCACUGAAUGGCAGUAAGCUGAACUUAUCAGAUGGCUCGGAAAUCGGGGAGUACAUCAUUGGUGAUGCAGGAUACCCUCUUCUCCCCUGGCUCCUCACACCUUACCACCUGCAAGAGAAAGACCUGUCUGCAGAUUUUCCUCCUUAUCAAGCCGAGUUCAACAGGAGACACUCUUCAGCAUCAACCAUCACGCUGGCUGCGCUGACCAGGUUGAAAGACACUUGGAAGAUCCUGGACAGAGCGGUUGGCUCAUGUCCACCUUUUGAAACAAUCUAUGCGUGCUGCGUGUUACAUAAUAUAGUGAUAGACAAGGAGGAAGAGGAAGAUGGUGCAGGCAUGCCAAUCAAUCAGGAGAAUUACAUCAAGCAAGUGCGGCGGGUAGCAGAUGAGGACGCCAUCAGGGUGAGGGAUUCACUGUCCCAGCACUUGAUCGAAUCUGGAGUUCACACAAAGGCUGCAGAGGAGGAACAAGAAGCAGCAGCAACUGUAUCUGGUUCAGGAGAUGGAAACAAGGAACAGGAAGCAGACUGA